RNAcentral lists this ribosomal RNA (235 nucleotides) under uncultured Candidatus Saccharibacteria bacterium. Its description in RNAcentral is "partial 16S ribosomal RNA". It matches the Rfam family "Bacterial small subunit ribosomal RNA", at positions 584 to 818 of the family's 1533-position model. The record is from RNAcentral. Lineage: Bacteria; Candidatus Saccharimonadota.
AAAGCGAAUAGUGAAAUCUGGUGGCUCAACCAUCAACACAUUGUUCGAACUCACAGACUCGAGAAUGGUAGAGGUAACUGGAAUUUCUAGUGUAGGAGUGAAAUCCGUAGAUAUUAGAAGGAACACCAAUGGCGUAGGCAGGUUACUGGACCAUUUCUGACGCUGAGGCACGAAAGCGUGGGGAGCGAACGGGAUUAGAUACCCCGGUAGUCCACGCCGUAAACGAUGGAUGCUA